This 875-nucleotide ribosomal RNA is filed under the name Agaricus friesianus. Its description in RNAcentral is "eukaryotic LSU rRNA". It matches the Rfam family "Eukaryotic large subunit ribosomal RNA", at positions 72 to 934 of the family's 3401-position model. The record is from RNAcentral. Lineage: Eukaryota; Fungi; Basidiomycota; Agaricomycetes; Agaricales; Agaricaceae.
GGAUUCCCCUAGUAACUGCGAGUGAAGCGGGAAAAGCUCAAAUUUAAAAUCUGGCAGUCUCUGGCUGUCCGAGUUGUAAUCUAGAGAAGUAAUGCCCGUGCUGGACCGUGUAUAAGUCUCCUGGGAUGGGGCGUCAUAGAGGGUGAGAAUCCCGUCUUUGACACGGACUACCAGUGCAUUGUGGUAUGCUCUCAAAGAGUCGAGUUGUUUGGGAAUGCAGCUCAAAAUGGGUGGUAAAUUCCAUCUAAAGCUAAAUAUUGGCGAGAGACCGAUAGCGAACAAGUACCGUGAGGGAAAGAUGAAAAGAACUUUGGAAAGAGAGUUAAACAGUACGUGAAAUUGCUGAAAGGGAAACGCUUGAAGUCAGUCGCGUUGGCCGGGAAUCAGCCUUGCUUCUGCACGGUGUACUUUCUGGUUGACGGGUCAGCAUCAAUUUUGACCGCUGGAAAAAGGCCUGGGGAAUGUGGCAGCUUCGGCUGUGUUAUAGCCCCUAGUCGCAUACAGUGGUUGGGAUUGAGGAACUCAGCACGCCGCAAGGCCGGGUUUCGACCACGUUCGUGCUUAGGAUGCUGGCAUAAUGGCUUUAAGCGACCCGUCUUGAAACACGGACCAAGGAGUCUAACAUGCCUGCGAGUAUUUGGGUGGAAAACCCAAGUGCGUAAUGAAAGUGAAAGUUGAGAUCCCUGUCGCGGGGAGCAUCGACGCCCGGACCAGAACUUUUGGGACGGAUCCGCGGUGGAGCAUGUAUGUUGGGACCCGAAAGAUGGUGAACUAUGCCUGAAUAGGGUGAAGCCAGAGGAAACUCUGGUGGAGGCUCGUAGCGAUUCUGACGUGCAAAUCGAUCGUCAAAUUUGGGUAUAGGGGCGAAAGACUAA